Molecule: ribosomal RNA, 253 nt
Filed under: uncultured bacterium
Lineage: Bacteria
Description: partial 16S ribosomal RNA
Rfam family: Bacterial small subunit ribosomal RNA
Source: RNAcentral
UACGUAGGGACCGAGCGUUGUCCGGAAUCAUUGGGCGUAAAGAGCGUGUAGGCGCCCCGGUAAGUCCGCUGUAAAAGUCAAAGGCUCAACCUUUGAAUGUCAGUGGAUACUGCCGGGCUAGAGUCCGGAAGAGGCGAGUGGAACUCCUGGUGUAGCGGUGGAAUGCGCAGAUAUCAGGAAGAACACCAACGGCGAAGGCAGCUCGCUGGGACGGUACUGACGCUGAGACGCGAAAGCGUGGGGAGCGAACAGG